Long non-coding RNA from Fukomys damarensis (Damara mole-rat), 577 nucleotides. RefSeq lists it as uncharacterized. NCBI's taxonomy places the organism in Eukaryota, Metazoa, Chordata, Mammalia, Rodentia, Bathyergidae. The record is from RefSeq and is a predicted model, not a curated record. The transcript is spliced from 4 exons.
GGGAAGCAAAGCCAACUAAGCUGCCCCUGACUGAUGGACUUCCUCCAGAAAUACUUAAUUCAAAUUCUCCAAGAAAGGAUCUGAUUGGCUGGCUGGUCAAGAGCUCUUGCUGGGCUGAAUGCCCUGUCUAGGCUGCCUCAUGGGCCACAGGCCGGCUUGUGAGAAAAGUGUCUCCAACUCAAAUGCCAACCUCCAUUACAGCCACAAGGUCAAGCAAGCAGCGCAGAGCUGGAUCAUUUACCCGGGCCACCAAAAACCACCAUAAGGAUGGACCAGGCAAAGCUAGUAAUCUGAUGCCAUCAUGUGGUCGGCACUCAGGCACCCAUAACCAGGGACAGGCACUACACUAAUUGCCUCCCACACGGCAAGGCAUUUCAGUCUUCAAAAUAACACCACCGUACAGCAGCACCAGGUGUACAGUAAGGAUCAAAAUAAAAACUCUGGGGCGUCCGCGCAGCAAGCAGCCCAUGCUUGACGUCUUCCCUUCGGCAUACGGAUCUGUGUCAUUCUGAGAACUUGACAGACGACUCUAAGAAUCUCCUCCAGAGACAUCACCCGUGGGACUUGGAACAGGGCA